Non-coding RNA from Parelaphostrongylus tenuis, 73 nucleotides. The record is from the annotation of a GenBank genome assembly. NCBI's taxonomy places the organism in Eukaryota, Metazoa, Nematoda, Chromadorea, Rhabditida, Metastrongylidae.
GCGUCGGUAGUACAACGGUUCAGCGCACGCUCCCGGAAAGAGUGAAAUCUGGGUUUGAGUCCCAGUUGACGAU